GACGAACGCUGGCGGCGUGCUUAACACAUGCAAGUCGAACGGAAAGGCCCUGCUUUUGUGGGGUGCUCGAGUGGCGAACGGGUGAGUAACACGCGAGUAACCUGCCCUUGACUUUGGGAUAACUUCAGGAAACUGGGGCUCAUAUCGGAUAGGAGCUCCUGCUGCAUGGUGGGGGUUGGUAAGUUUCGGCGGUUGGGGAUGGACUCGCGGCUUAUCAGCUUGUUGGUGGGGUAGUGGCUUACCAAGGCUUUGACGGGUAGCCGGCCUGAGAGGGUGACCGGCCACAUUGGGACUGAGAUACGGCCCAGACUCCUACGGGAGGCAGCAGUGGGGAAUAUUGCACAAUGGGCGGAAGCCUGAUGCAGCAACGCCGCGUGCGGGAUGACGGCCUUCGGGUUGUAAACCGCUUUCGCCUGUGACGAAGCGUGAGUGACGGUAAUGGGUAAAAAAGCACCGGCUAACUACGUG
Molecule: ribosomal RNA, 468 nt
Filed under: uncultured bacterium
Lineage: Bacteria
Description: partial 16S ribosomal RNA
Rfam family: Bacterial small subunit ribosomal RNA
Source: RNAcentral